RNAcentral lists this long non-coding RNA (373 nucleotides) under Ananas comosus (pineapple). RNAcentral's name for it is "long non-coding RNA (ACOM_LNC019785)". Lineage: Eukaryota; Viridiplantae; Streptophyta; Magnoliopsida; Poales; Bromeliaceae. The record is from RNAcentral.
GUGGUUGGAUCUUCAUGAUCCGUACGUAGGUAACUGCAAUUCACUACAACAAAAACGGUCUAUAGUGACACGUUUAAGUAUAGGUAUAUGUCAAAAAAGUGCUGCUAGCUAAAAUUACCGACACUUUUAAAAAGUGUUGCUAUAUGUGGGGUCGCUAGGUAUAUAGUGACAGUUAAAGAGUGUCGCUAUAACCUAAAAGAGUGCUGCUAAUUUACCAACACUUAUUUGAGCAUUUAGCAAUUGCCGAAACUCUAUCUCGUUGGCUGCGAUGGCGGAGGAGGACGACAGGAAAGGCUUUUCGUCUAGAAUUUCAGUGGAUUGAGUGAAGAGAGAAGAAAAGAUGGUAAUUGAUUUUUCUUUUUUUUUUUUCUUU